GACGACGCUGGCGGCGUGCUUAACACAUGCAAGUCGAACGGUGACGAGGAGCUUGCUCCUCCGAUCAGUGGCGAACGGGUGAGUAACACGUGAGUAACCUGCCCCAGACUCUGGAAUAACAGUUGGAAACAGCUGCUAAUACCGGAUACGAGACGGAGAGGCAUCUCUACCGUCUGGAAAGUUUUUCGGUCUGGGAUGGACUCGCGGCCUAUCAGCUUGUUGGUGAGGUAAUGGCUCACCAAGGCGACGACGGGUAGCCGGCCUGAGAGGGCGACCGGCCACACUGGGACUGAGACACGGCCCAGACUCCUACGGGAGGCAGCAGUGGGGAAUAUUGCACAAUGGGCGAAAGCCUGAUGCAGCAACGCCGCGUGAGGGAUGACGGCCUUCGGGUUGUAAACCUCUUUCAGUAGGGAAGAAGCGAAAGUGACGGUACCUACAGAAGAAGCACCGGCUAACUACGUG
RNAcentral lists this ribosomal RNA (465 nucleotides) under uncultured bacterium. Its description in RNAcentral is "bacterial SSU rRNA". It matches the Rfam family "Bacterial small subunit ribosomal RNA", at positions 33 to 507 of the family's 1533-position model. The record is from RNAcentral.